GAUGAACGCUGGCGGCGUGCCUAAUACAUGCAAGUCGAGCGAACGGACGAGAAGCUUGCUUCUCUGAUGUUAGCGGCGGACGGGUGAGUAACACGUGGAUAACCUACCUAUAAGACUGGGAUAACUUCGGGAAACCGGAGCUAAUACCGGAUAAUAUUUUGAACCGCAUGGUUCAAAAGUGAAAGACGGUCUUGCUGUCACUUCUAGAUGGAUCCGCGCUGCAUUAGCUAGUUGGUAAGGUAACGGCUUACCAAGGCAACGAUGCAUAGCCGACCUGAGAGGGUGAUCGCGCACACUGGAACUGAGACACGGUCCAGACUCCGACGGGAGGCAGCAGUAGGUAAGCGUCCGCAAUGGGCGAAAGCCUGACGGAGCAACGCCGCGUGAGUGAUGAAGGGCCUCGGAUCGGAAAACUCUGUUAUGAGGGAAGAACAUAUGUGUAAGUAACUGUGCACAUCGUGACGGUACCUAAUCAGAAAGCCACGGCUAACUACGUG
RNAcentral lists this ribosomal RNA (497 nucleotides) under uncultured bacterium. RNAcentral's name for it is "partial 16S ribosomal RNA". It matches the Rfam family "Bacterial small subunit ribosomal RNA", at positions 28 to 507 of the family's 1533-position model. The record is from RNAcentral.